RNAcentral lists this ribosomal RNA (450 nucleotides) under uncultured bacterium. RNAcentral describes it as "partial 16S ribosomal RNA". It matches the Rfam family "Bacterial small subunit ribosomal RNA", at positions 354 to 796 of the family's 1533-position model. The record is from RNAcentral.
GUGGGGAAUAUUGGACAAUGGGCGAAAGCCUGAUCCAGCCAUGCCGCGUGCAGGAUGAAGGCCUUCGGGUUGUAAACUGCUUUUGUACGGAACGAAAAGACUCCUUCUAAUAAAGGGGGUCCAUGACGGUACCGUAAGAAUAAGCACCGGCUAACUACGUGCCAGCAGCCGCGGUAAUACGUAGGGUGCGAGCGUUAAUCGGAAUUACUGGGCGUAAAGCGUGCGCAGGCGGUUAUAUAAGACAGAUGUGAAAUCCCCGGGCUCAACCUGGGAACUGCAUUUGUGACUGUAUAGCUAGAGUACGGCAGAGGGGGAUGGAAUUCCGCGUGUAGCAGUGAAAUGCGUAGAUAUGCGGAGGAACACCGAUGGCGAAGGCAAUCCCCUGGGCCUGUACUGACGCUCAUGCACGAAAGCGUGGGGAGCAAACAGGAUUAGAUACCCGUGUAGUCC